CCUACGGGCGGCAGCAGUGAGGAAUAUUGGUCAAUGGACGAGAGUCUGAACCAGCCAAGUAGCGUGAAGGAUGACUGCCCUAUGGGUUGUAAACUUCUUUUAUAAAGGAAUAAAACGAGGCACGUGUGCCUUUUUUCAUGUACUUUAUGAAUAAGGAUCGGCUAACUCCGCGCCAGCAGCCGCGGUAAUACGGAGGAUCCGAGCGUUAUCCGGAUUUAUUGGGUUUAAAGGGAGCGUAGAUGGGUUGUUAAGUCAGUUGUGAAAGUUUGCGGCUCAACCGUAAAAUUGCAAUUGAUACUGGCAGUCUUGAGUACAGUUGGGGUAGGCGGAAUUCGUGGUGUAGCGGUGAAAUGCUUAGAUAUCACGAAGAACCCCGAUUGCGAAGGCAGCUUACUAAACUGUGACUGACAUUGAUGCUCGAAAGUGUGGGUAUCAAACAGGAUUAGAUACCCGGGUAGUC
This 460-nucleotide ribosomal RNA is filed under the name uncultured bacterium. RNAcentral's name for it is "partial 16S ribosomal RNA". It matches the Rfam family "Bacterial small subunit ribosomal RNA", at positions 338 to 795 of the family's 1533-position model. The record is from RNAcentral.